ACCUGCGGAGGGAUCAUUACUGAGUGAGGGCCUUCGGGCUCGACCUCCAACCCUUUGUGAACACAACUUGUUGCUUCGGGGGCGACCCUGCCGUUUCGACGGCGAGCGCCCCCGGAGACCAUCAAACACUGCAUCUUUGCGUCGGAGUUUAAGUAAAUUAAACAAAACUUUCAACAACGGAUCUCUUGGUUCUGGCAUCGAUGAAGAACGCAGCGAAAUGCGAUAAGUAAUGUGAAUUGCAGAAUUCAGUGAAUCAUCGAAUCUUUGAACGCACAUUGCGCCCUUUGGUAUUCCGAAGGGCAUGCCUGUUCGAGCGUCAUUUCACCACUCAAGCCUGGCUUGGUAUUGGGCGCCGCGGUCAAUCCGCGCGCCUCAAAGUCUCCGGCUGAGCUGUCCGUCUCUAAGCGUUGUGAUUUCAUUAAUCGCUUCGGAGUGCGGGCGGCCGCGGCCGUUAAAUCUUUCACAAGGUUGACCUCGGAUCAGGUAGGGAUACCCGCUGAACUUAAGCAUAUCAA
This 515-nucleotide ribosomal RNA is filed under the name Septoria glycines. RNAcentral describes it as "eukaryotic LSU rRNA". The stretch from base 166 to 319 matches the Rfam family "5.8S ribosomal RNA". The record is from RNAcentral. Lineage: Eukaryota; Fungi; Ascomycota; Dothideomycetes; Mycosphaerellales; Mycosphaerellaceae.